RNAcentral lists this ribosomal RNA (468 nucleotides) under uncultured bacterium. Its description in RNAcentral is "partial 16S ribosomal RNA". It matches the Rfam family "Bacterial small subunit ribosomal RNA", at positions 28 to 507 of the family's 1533-position model. The record is from RNAcentral.
GACGAACGCUGGCGGCGUGCUUAACACAUGCAAGUCGAACGGAAAGGCCCUGCUUUUGUGGGGUGCUCGAGUGGCGAACGGGUGAGUAACACGUGAGUAACCUGCCCUUGACUUUGGGAGAACUUCAGGAAACUGGGGCUAAUACCGGAUAGGAGCUCCUGCUGCAUGGUGGGGGUUGGAAAGUUUCGGCGGUUGGGGAUGGACUCGCGGCUUAUCAGCUUGUUGGUGGGGUAGUUGCUGACCAAGGCUUUGACGGGUAGUCGGCCUGAGAGGGGGACCGGCGACAUUGGGCCUGAGAUACGGACCAGUCUCCUACGGGAGACAGUGGUGGGAAACAUUGCACAGUGAGCCGAAGCGUGAUGCAGCAACGCCGCGUGCGGGAUGCCGGCUUUCGGGUUGUAAACAGCUUUCGCCUGUGACGAAGCGUGAGUGACGGUAAUGGGUAAAGAAGCACCGGCUAACUACGUG